RNAcentral lists this ribosomal RNA (253 nucleotides) under uncultured bacterium. Its description in RNAcentral is "partial 16S ribosomal RNA". It matches the Rfam family "Bacterial small subunit ribosomal RNA", at positions 524 to 776 of the family's 1533-position model. The record is from RNAcentral.
UACGAGGGGGGCGAGCGUUGUUCGGAAUUAUUGGGCGUAAAGGAUGCGUAGGUGGAUAUUUAAGUGGGAUGUGAAAUACCCGGGCUCAACUUGGGUGCUGCAUUCCAAACUGGAUAUCUAGAGUGCAGGAGAGGUAAGUGGAAUUCCUAGUGUAGCGGUGAAAUGCGUAGAGAUUAGGAAGAACACCAGUGGCGAAGGCGACUUACUGGACUGUAACUGACACUGAGGCAUGAAAGCGUGGGGAGCAAACAGG